AGCUCCAAUAGCGUAUACUAAUGUUGUUGCAGUUAAAAAGCUCGUAGUCGGAUUUCAGUGGACUCAGUUAAGUCUCCAUUGUGAGAUCUUUAUGGGUCCACUUCUUUGACAGAAACUUCUAUGUUAUUCAUUUAGCGUGGGUAGCGACUGUCUCUUUUACUUUGAGAAAAUUAGAGUGUUCAAAGCAGGUAUUCGCCUGAAUAUUACUCUUGGAAUAAUGCUAUAUGACUUUGGUUCUAAUGUAUUGGUGAUUGGGACCAGAGUAAUGAUUGAUAGGGACGGUUGGGGUCUUACGUACUGCAAAGCGAGAGGUGAAAUUCUUGGACCUUUGUAUGACGAACAACUGCGAAAGCAUUGGACUAGGACGUUCCCA
Molecule: ribosomal RNA, 373 nt
Filed under: uncultured eukaryote
Lineage: Eukaryota
Description: SSU rRNA
Rfam family: Eukaryotic small subunit ribosomal RNA
Source: RNAcentral